RNAcentral lists this ribosomal RNA (196 nucleotides) under uncultured bacterium. RNAcentral describes it as "partial 16S ribosomal RNA". It matches the Rfam family "Bacterial small subunit ribosomal RNA", at positions 328 to 540 of the family's 1533-position model. The record is from RNAcentral.
ACGCUCGACACCUACAGGAGGCAGCAGUGGGGAAUAUUGGGCAAUGGGCGCAAGCCUGACCCAGCAACGCCGCGUGAAGGAAGAAGGCCCUCGGGUUGUAAACUUCUUUUGACAGGGACGAAACAAAUGACGGUACCUGUCGAAUAAGCCACGGCUAACUACGUGCCANCNCGCCGAGUAUNGNGGCGNGNGAGAG